Long non-coding RNA from Neopsephotus bourkii (Bourke's parrot), 2115 nucleotides. RefSeq lists it as uncharacterized. The record is from RefSeq and is a predicted model, not a curated record. The transcript has 3 exons. NCBI's taxonomy places the organism in Eukaryota, Metazoa, Chordata, Aves, Psittaciformes, Psittacidae.
AUCACAACAUACCGAAAGUGAGCAUGCACAGGAGCAACUGAAAUUACUGACUGAAAACACAGAGAAUUCUCCUGUUCUGGAAUUCAGACACCUGGACACCUACCAUAGCAACCACACACCAGCAACGUUCAAAAGGCUUUGUGGCCAGAUGAACAACAUCUUCAAAUACUUCUGGUUUACGUUACUUGUUCUGGAUCACAAUGGUCACUGUCUACAGCCAAAUACAUUCUCAGUUACCCAGAAAGCAGAUGUGAAGCAUAUGCAGAUAUACUGCAUGUCAGACCUAAACCAUACCCCACUGUGCAGCUGAACUGCACCUGUGCAGCAAGUGAACUUAUCCUGCCUGCUGUGCGAUAACACGGCAAUGGGUCCAACUCGCUGCACGUGCAAGGUCCAUGGCCAUGGGAAUGUCUAUACCUUGCAUGAGAACAAGGUCCAAAGUACUGAAAGAAGUUUGUUUGACCAAGGGAUUCUAAUGCCCAGGUGUGAGACAUCCUGCCUGUAGCACUUACUUGGACGUGAAGGUCCUUCCCAAGAAGAAAGUCACUACUGUUAAGGGAAAAAUUAUUCAGGACAAGGUCUAGGAAGCACUAAAAGCUAAUCUUACUACUGCAGUUUCUCUUCUGAUUUGUCACUUUCAGGAAUCACUUGGUUAACAGUACUGUGAUAAGUGACUUUUUGGCUGGUUUGGGUUCUUUUUCAAAAAAAAGCUGAUUAUCUCACAGAAGAUUCCACCUGCUGAAACUCACAUGAAACAUGUGAAGUGAUGGAAUUACAAACAUGAUGCUAUUACAAUGGUUUUUCCUCUCCUAGGCUUAUGUCUUAUCACAACCCACUGCAGAUUUAGGCUAUGUCACUUUCACUUUUGAUCUCUUUCCUGCCCCUUCACACACUAUAUAUACAGUUUCGCUUUAGCUUUAAGGCUCUGCAUAUUCACAGCUUUCUCUUCCCUAUCUGCUAUUCCGAUUGCUAUAUUCAUCUGAUUUUUGUGGUUUGCCUCUCACCAGCAUUAAGUCCUUCUUUCUUUUUUCACCACAAACGUGCAGUACAAUCACAUUCACAAAGGCAUAACUCAUGGUUUUACCAAGGUUGGGUUGGUGGUUUUUUUCACAUUUUUUUAAAUCAGACACACCAUCUUAAGCAUCUCACCACUCCUUCCAGCCACAGCACCCAGCUCAGUUCCACUUCUAGCACAACUCUCUGAAUGGUUACACAGAGAAGGGGAUCAGUGAAUCAGGUAUUUACUGGGUUAACUUUAACCCAGGAAAGGCAACAAUUCACAGUAGUUCAUGACACUGCUGCAAUAGCAAUGGCAGUGGCAUGACUGAGAGAGCAGGAAUGAGCAGCUUGAGAUAACUUAAGCACUAACAGUAAAAGAAAUUCUUGUGAAACUAUGUGACCAAGCACUACAUCCAUGUUUUCACCAGAUUUGUGUUAUUAACUAUGUUUUCUUAAAGUAGAAAUUACACUGUAGAUCCUUCCUUGCCUCUUCAACCUUAUGUAAGGGCAGGAAGAAAGCAAGCCUUUGAAAUAUAAUCGCGUCUCUGAAAAGAAACAACAUGUUUCCCAGCUGUGGCCUUGUCUGCUGAAACCAGGUGAAAGACUUGCCCAUAAUUAACUGACAUCUGCAUAAACUGUUGAAUUCAUUUUAGCACCUUUACAGAUUAUUAUUUUUCAUGCACUGUGGGACUUACAGACUAUGUUUACUAAACCCUCCUUAUCAGGUGACAGAGAAGAGGACACUCCUGAGCUAAUGACACUGCCAAGUUGUUUCCACAAGGGAAGCUUACUGUGAAGAAAUCAAUACCCACAUCAAAAAACAUAAUACUGAAAGGGCAGAACAAAUCCUGUUGUAUUCACUGUACUUGUCAGUAACAUAAUAAAGUCCAAGUGUGUGUUAAUUAGAUACACAAAUAAGUCAACUCUAUGACUGGUCUCCAAGCUUUUUUAUUAAAUGAACUUCAUUACUUUUUUUUAAAGCCACCAUAUUCCCAUGUGGCAUUAGAGUGGACCAAUGUCAGAGGGUAGGGGAUUCAAAGUGAAGUUGUGUGCAACACCUCAACUACAUCAGGAGCAACACAACAAAAGUAUAGGGAAUAUAAUUUUUUUUUUGUG